Long non-coding RNA from Apis laboriosa (Himalayan honeybee), 4652 nucleotides. RefSeq lists it as uncharacterized. The record is from RefSeq and is a predicted model, not a curated record. The transcript has 6 exons. Lineage: Eukaryota; Metazoa; Arthropoda; Insecta; Hymenoptera; Apidae.
UCUUCUUUAUGCGUUUUCGAUUCUACGACAGAUUGUGAGUUUUUGAUUAAUUUAUCUUUGUUCGGUUACUUUGAUUGUGCUUUGAUAUGUUUUUUGAAGUGUUGAAGUGAAAGUACAUUAAAAUUCUCAAGUUGCUCUUAAGAAUAAUUUUGUGGUGGAAGCUGAGAUGAGAGUGAAAGUCACUGUUGGAUGAUUACCCUUACUAUGGAGUUCAAAUUUACCUUGAUGAGCAACAAAGGCAAAAAAAAGAAAAGUAAAGAGGAAGUCUCUCGCCUCGAGGAAAAUAAUUCCAGACGAUGGAAAAUCUGAUCGAACGAUAAAUCAUCCAUCUACAAGGAAACGAGGUUUUGGCGUUUCGCUGAAAGAUAAUCCCCGGCUGGUUGGAAACGUGCUGGAAUCCCGAUAAACCGUGGCUUGGGUCCGAGCCUCUUCUCUAUACGUUCUCCCGCUCACGGAAGAUUAAAAUAAAUGAAUAAACGAAGGAAAUAAAGAAAAAAAAAGGAAAAAAAGGAAAAAAAAAGAAAGGUUCACAGUAGAAGAACAAUGGCGCGCAAAAUGAGUUGACUCUUACUGCGCGUCAUUUGGGAGGGAUCGAAUGAGUCGCGAGUAUUUCAUCGAUUCCCCAGGAUUCUCUAGCAAUAGUCCUCGUUUACGAGCGUGAAAUGGUAGCCGAUGGCAAAGAAUAAAAGGUAUGGCUGUAUCGAAAUCACCGCGAAAACGCAAGCGGCGUUUCCAACGUUUCCGACUUAACCACGGUGUUUCAGCUACGCGCUGGAUAAUGACAGGAUUUGGCUAGGCGAUAACUGGAAGAAGGAAAGAAUUAUAGGCUGCGAGAGUGCCUCGUAAGCAUCGGGUCUCGCAGUUUUAACGGCGAUUCAACCGUUUUCUUGGCCACCUUUUCUUCGUUACUUUGUGAUUUCAACGCGGUUCGAGGGAACGGAAACGAUGUUUCUCGCGAGGAAGAGGAGAUAUCUUGGUAGACGAUAUUGGGAAUGACGAGGGAUAGGCGAGGAGAGCCUAUCGGCAGAAUGUUGGAUUCGAGCCAAAAAUCACCGUAGUUUGCAUAGUCGCAUCUUUUCUCGCCUAUAAAAUGUGUCCACGAAACAUUUACGUGGAUUUGUUUAUUUGCGAUAUAAUGAUAUCCGAUUCGCGUUUGAAAAUUUAAAAUUUAAUUUGCAAAUCAGGAUUAUUGAUAUGAUAGAAUUAAAUACGAAUUUGAAAUCAUUUUUCAAAAUCAUUUCGAGAGAAAUUAUUGAAUUAUAAAAAUUCAACGGUGUCCAUGUCUACAAUCUGUCAUUUAAAUAUAUAAUUUCUAUAAAUUUAACGAGCAGAAAGAGAAAACAAAAAAAGUCAUUUAAUAAUUUAUCUCAUUCUAUGAUAUUUUAAAAGUUUAAUAAUUAGAAUAUAGGUUAGAUUAGAUUCGAUUAGACUCUUUGAUUCCAAGAAUAACUAAAUUGGCCUCUGAUGUACAUAAAAGCAAAGUGACAAGAAAUAAGCAGGAAGUUAUUCUUAAAUUACUAUCGCUACACAAGUAUCGAUCGAAUUUCCCCUAUAUCCCCAAUGUAUUAUAUCUCACUCCUACAUACGUAUCGGAAAUCGGUUCAAAAAAUAUUCGUGGAGUCACGGUUCGUAGAGAAAUGGUCCAAAUACCUAGUUUAUAUCCUGGUGACCUGGUUGACCAUUUACGCACGACUGCAUACGAAGAAUAUUAAUUACGCGUCAACGACUCACCAAGUGUUCCGCAUUGACGUGGCGGAAGUAGGUCCGCCACGCGUUAAAUGCCACGAAGCAUCUUCACAACGGCGACACGAAUAAUUUGGCGUGAUAAUUGUCUGGCUAAACAGCCGCGAAUGCGGCUAGGAACGUGGGGCAAAAAAUUGUCUGCGGAAUAUCGAAUGUACCGUUUAUGAGAACGGAACAAAAUGUACGCGAUAACAGGGACGAGAUGUGUAUAAGAAUUUGAAAGAGAAUUGGUGGUAUUUGAAGAAACAUUAAUUGCAUGACCUAGCAGAAAUUCAACUGUUGGAAAAUGAAAUUGUGUGAAAAUUUGUUCACGUGUCUAACUUCUUCUCUGAUCCCUUGACAGUAAAAAAAAUCUUCCUGCAAUACCGAUCGAGACAACGUGAAUGUAACCGCGAUUGAUUUGAUCCUGACAAUUGGCUAAAUUAAAUUCCAGGGAUCGAAAAGUCGACGCGUCGUUGAUUGAUUGACGAGUAAUUUGGAUGGCGAUUGAAUACCCGCAACGAAGACGAUAAUGGAAUCGAAGUUAUCUCAUAUAUUGAAUUAGUGAGACGUGAUGUACGAUUUAUUGCUCUUUUCGUCUUGAAAAUAAAAACCAACAACGUAACAACGUAAGUAGCUCACAAAUAUUAUUGCCCCUGGGUCGAAACCUCUAUUCAUACCUUAAUUUUAUGCCAUACCGCAUUACUAGAGGCAAAUCUAUCUCCAGCUCUACAACCAUCAGGAGUAAAUAAAUUAUUAUGGUAUUAAUUUUUAUGUUUUAUUUACGAGAGCUUGAAACGACAUGACAUGCUUAACUCUCAGCUAAAGGAAUUUUUCUAUUGUACCAGAAAGAAGCAUAAUUAUGAAUAUCUUUGGAAAGAAAGAAGCAUUAAUUAAGUAAUAAUUUAAGAUACAUCUUUAAAACGUUAAAUAUCCAACUUGAAAAAUAACGAACGUCAUAAAUUCAAACUCUAUCACUCUAAGCUCAAAUUACUAUAGUGGAAGUCAUUAAAAUGUUCAUCGCGCAAUCACUCGUUUAUCUUAGGCGUAUCCUCAACCACAACGUUAGUUUUCCAACUUGAAAAGCAACAAACAUCCUGUCAUAAAUUUGAACAACAAUAGCCCACAUUGUUGUCAAUAAAUUCAUUGGGCAAUCGCUCAUUUAUCUCGUUGUCAGUCGCAUCCUUAACUUAAAUAAGCUAAUUUUCCAACUCGAGAAAAAUAGCAAAUAUUCUGCCAUCAAUUCGAAUUCACAACAAAGUUUAACAAUAGCAAAACGUUAUUCUUCUAUGCAAAUAUUCAUCGCGCGAUCGGCCGUUUAAGCUCGGGCGUCUCGUUAACCCGAAUAAUCCUUUUCCAUAUUUGCCUCGUCACGAAAGUCGUCGAGUCGAUAAUGAGUUCAUCGACGAUUACGGCAGCGGUGACACGACAUGGCUCGCGUGCAAAUACGCUUAUGUCACCGAUGCUGCAGGCUGCUUGUUCCAGAGCCAUCUUUAUUUCGGUCAUCGCUCCUUCGGCUCUCUCACCUUGUCCUCUUAUCUUUCCACGCGAUCCACGUAUAAUACUCGUAUAAUAGUACUUAUUUAUAUUACUACAUGUAGUGAUGGGUUGCGAUGCUUCUCAAGCAAUAUAAAUUCUUAGCGAUGAAGAAUUAUGGUAUCACAAUAUAUUAUAUAUAUUAUUUUCUGGUUAUCAAAAGGAAUGGAAUCGUAGAUCAUAUUCAUCGUUUCGAGUCUUGGUAAAUAUAAAUGUCUCUACUUUUAUUAUUUUGAAACGGUAGAAAGUAAAUUUCAUUUUACCCUUGUUUCUUGUACUUGAUAUCAGUGAACUUAAUAAGAUUUUGAUCUUAAGAUUCGACACAAUAACGCUGUCGAUUUCGGAUCCUUACUCCUUUGAUUAUAAACCUUCAAAUAAACAGUUAAACUCAAAAUUGUAUUAAAGUAAUGAGAAAGAAUGGUAUCAUACCCAUCACUACUCUGUCUUUAAAUUAUUAGCUAUGAUAGCUUACAAAGAAUACAAAGAAUACAAAGAAAAGAAAAAAACCAUUAUUAACCAGUCAUUUUCUCAGAAUUACUUGCUAACAUCUAAGCUCAUUACGAUCCCAUUAACAUUAUCUUGAUAUAACUCGGUAUUAAGGCAUGUAUUGAUAUCAAUUUCAACUAUCUACUCUUUUCCUAUAUCUUUAAAUACUUCAGCGUAGAAUUGUUGAAAAAUCGUAAGAAGAUAUCGUACCCAUCACUACCUAAUAUUCACGGCUCGUUCCAAUGGCGAAAUCUUGAACUUGACUGGACUUCUCUGAACGGCGCAGCAACCUUGCCGAUCGUUACCGUUACCCAUCGCCGUCUCGUCAUAAUGUACGCAAGCGAGUAAUGCGCGCGAGGUCGAGACUAAUUACACGAGUUUUCUACUGUGGACAUCGUCACCGGUAGAUUGAAUUGCGGAACCGCAGUCGUCCGAUCGAUCCUUCGAAGUGAUUUUUUAGACGCGUGGGAAAGCUUCGAUAACGAGAUUCUCAAUCGUUCGUUUGGAAAAGCCUGCGCCGCCUUCAUCGGCACGCUAUCUCACCUUUAUACGCGCGCAAUCCUUCAGACUAAUAACGAGGAUUAAUUGGUCGCGCCGGGGUUAAUGAUCCACACUCUCUCCGUGGUUGGAUCUUGGUUUCCUCUUCUUGGGCUCUUUAUUUAGACCUUGAUCAUUAAUCACAAGUGGUUAAUUCCUUAGAAAGAUUUGAAGUUACCUUAGAAAGAUUUGAAUCUUGAAUCGAAGAAAUGUGAAUAAGAUGGAAUCUGAAUUAGCUAAUAAUUUAAGUUUGAAUGUGUGUCGUAUGAUGAGACAAGAAUUACUAUAUUUAUAAUAAAAAAUUUUAUAUUGAAAUUUUAUAUGACUAUCUGAUUUGAUUGAAUCAUAGUAAUUUACAAAUAAUAUCCAAG